RNAcentral lists this long non-coding RNA (1570 nucleotides) under Pongo abelii (Sumatran orangutan). RNAcentral describes it as "lincRNA". Lineage: Eukaryota; Metazoa; Chordata; Mammalia; Primates; Hominidae. The record is from RNAcentral.
AUUCCAGGCUGUGGCUUGCCUUUUCACUUCUUGUGUCCUGUUUAAGAAAUAUCUGCUAUCCCAAGCAUCUGGCAUCUUUCUUGACAUACGUAGCAGUUGCUUUUUGACAGCUUGCUUCUGGAGUGAAUGAAUAAAUUAAUAAAUUUAUUCAUUUGAUAUUCAGUGACAUGUGAUAUUCAGUGAUCCAUUUUGCAGAUUGCAAACUCCUAGAGAAGGGCUCAACAGUGAGUGUUGAGGCUGCACAGAGGAGGAAGGUAGCACAAUGAUGGAAGGCUUCCUAAAGAGAUAACACUAACAAAGUUGACCUUAGAAUUGGAGUGCCCGGGUUAGAACCUUGCUGGUACCACCUGCUUACUGCAUGCUUCUGAUGUGAGUUCAGGAGAAGCCACUGGCAAGGACAGCAAAGAACAGGAGAACACUCUAGCUUCCCUGAUAGCAUUCAAGGCUCUUGAGUUUCUGCUUUCAAGUGACCCUCAGAAAUGCCCCCAUUCACUGCAGAGGUUCUGUUUCUCCUUGUUUUGUUCCGACUUUAUGGCAGAACUAGGUUAAUGAGUUAAUUACUAUGAGUUAUCACUUGGAUUUGAAGAACCAUCAUUUCUAGGCUUUGCUGCUCAGAGUGGGUUUGCCCUCAGGGGAAGCUAUCUAACCAGAGCCUAACCCACUAGGGUUUUAUCAGAACCUAACUGGCCUGAGGAAAAGAAAUAUUCAACUCCAGCAAGCUCCAGCCUUCCAAACGGAGGAGGAGAAAACCCAAAUCCAGCCCACUUCAGCUAUCUUGUCCCACAUAAAGGGGGAGUGGAAGAAACGUGAGAAGCAGGCAUGAAGUUCACAGUCCGGAGUGUAUUCCACACCAUUUCAUAUUCCAUCACAUUCCAUUCUACACAAUUCCACAUCUCCCCGGCCACGUCAGCCUGAGAGUAAUAAACAGGCCUUGCCAUCGUAUCCCCUUUUGGAGACACAAGCCAGGAAGGAAGCUCUUCAGUGCAGCUGUGAAUAGAGAAACGCUGGCUGAGGUUUUGGGGACACUGGGUGAUCAUUCCCAGUGAAAUUUUUAGAUCCCUGGGGACAUGAGCUGCUUUGUCUUUUCCAAGGACAGCAGAUAGAGCAUGAAUGAGACCCCCAAAGAAGGGAAGCAAAUGAGGCAAGCCCCACAAUUAUUCUGGCUUUUUACCUAGAGACAAUCUAUGAACUGUGGGGCAAACAACAAAGAUCAAAACAGCUUGGCAAUCUGAAUUGAGGAUGAAGACACCAUUAGGGGCAGAAGUACAGGUAGCUCAAAUUUGUGGAGCAAAGUACCAGAGAAGAUAAACUGCUCCAAAUUCCAUGAGGCUGGGCAAGGAAAAACUUUGUGGAAAGAAGAAUUAUCAGGGAGCCCUAAGCUGAAAAAUUGCCAGGGCUCAUACAGACCUGGGGAAUUGGUUGAGUUUAUGCCACCUAUAGGAUAGAGAACUUGCUGAAUGUUCAAGGAUUUUGUUACAGAUGCCAGAAAGAUGACACUUAAAGGGAUGCAAAACUAACAUCUCUGGAUUAGUCUUAAUAGAGUUUAAAAAUAAGCUUAGAAAAAGUCAAA